RNAcentral lists this small nucleolar RNA (128 nucleotides) under Saccharomyces cerevisiae (brewer's yeast). Its description in RNAcentral is "snRNA U14". It matches the Rfam family "Small nucleolar RNA SNORD14". From Rfam's summary of the family: U14 small nucleolar RNA (U14 snoRNA) is required for early cleavages of eukaryotic precursor rRNAs. Lineage: Eukaryota; Fungi; Ascomycota; Saccharomycetes; Saccharomycetales; Saccharomycetaceae. The record is from RNAcentral.
GAUCACGGUGAUGAAAGACUGGUUCCUUAACAUUCGCAGUUUCCACGGUAGGAGUACGCUUACGAACCCAUCGUUAGUACUCUCGGUGACCGCUCUUCUUUAGAGACCUUCCUAGGAUGUCUGAGUGA